RNAcentral lists this ribosomal RNA (368 nucleotides) under uncultured organism. Its description in RNAcentral is "bacterial LSU rRNA". It matches the Rfam family "Bacterial large subunit ribosomal RNA", at positions 2099 to 2465 of the family's 2925-position model. The record is from RNAcentral.
CUUGACUGUAUCCUGGAAUUGGGUUCGGGCUUUUCUUGCGCAGUCUAGGUGGGAGGCUAUGAAGAUUUCCUUCCGGGGAAGUUGGAGCCAUCAGUGAGAGACCACUCUGGAGAGGCUAGAAUCCUAAUGGUGAUCCUUGAAUCAGGACACUUGACAGUUUCAGGUGGGCAGUUUUUCUGGGGCGGAAGCCUCAUAAAGGGUAACUGAGGCGCGCAAAGGUCCCCUCAGUCUGGACGGAAAUUAGACAUUGAGUGUAAAGGCAAAGGGGGGCUUGACUGCAAGACCUACAAGUCGAGCAGGAGCGAAAGCUGGCCUUAGUGAUCCGACGGUGCCGUGUGGAAGGGCCGUCGCUCAACGAAUAAAAGUUA